RNA transcript from Lolium rigidum, 1342 nucleotides. It is a transcript of the gene named probable WRKY transcription factor 2, with no coding region annotated. Lineage: Eukaryota; Viridiplantae; Streptophyta; Magnoliopsida; Poales; Poaceae. The transcript is spliced from 8 exons. The record is from RefSeq and is a predicted model, not a curated record.
AAGCAACGGAGCUUAAUUUGUACAGGUAGGUAGAUGUAAUCCUUCAUCUUGUGUAUCCAAAAUGAGCAGAUUUCUGUUGGAGAUUAUUACUUGUUAAUUGGUUAUUUUUGCUUGCACCGUGCAGUUGGCCAUAUCGACUACUGAGAAGGCUCAGUUGGUGUUGGAUGUGAUGUCUUGGUGGGAUAUGUUUUUCUAUUGGAUGCCUACAGUAACUACAGGAUGCAAGAAGAACUUUGCAGGCAGUCCGGGGACUCUAUCACGAGUUGCUCAAUGUAACCUUCGCAAUGGGCGGCGGCUGCAGCACGGUGAAACAAUUCUGGUCCACUCUCUCGAGUGGCUCGACGUGUCCUUCGCAAUCAGUGGAAGCUGCUGCAUGCCAAAAAGAAGACAAGGUCAAGUGGAACUGACUCUGGCGAGGAGUAUAUGUGAAAGAUAGACUUGACUUUACAUUAGGCCAUUGAUCAAAUAACAUCUUCGUUUGGGAGGGGAGCAAUAAUGUGGCUUGGCUGCUCUGAAAGUCACAGAGAAGUACCUGUUGUGUCUACUGGGUCUUUCUCUCUGGAUCUUGCACUAGGGAUCAGUAGGCUUCCAAAGGUUUUACUUUGAAGAUUUGGGUUUGGGUGGCCCAAGAUUUCUACGAUGUUGUUGAUAACGACCAACAUCGGUACAGGAGGAUUUAGUGCUUAUCUCUUCUGAUAAUUGUUCACUCCAGUUAUGAAGUUUCCAUAUUUAGAGGGCUGACUCAGGGUGUUGGAUGCCACUUUUGUUUAUAUCAUUUGCCUCAUCGUCAUUUCUGAAGUUAGAUGUGUUAGCUAUCACCACCAGUACAAUUGGCAUGGUGGCUGCAGAAUCAAGGGCCAUAAGGGAGCCUCGUGUUGUUCAGAAGACAACCAAGGUUGGCAUCUUUUUAAUUCUUAUCGUUGGUGCAAGUAAGGUCAGAAGGAUGCUAAAGGAAAUCCAAAUCCAAGUAGGCAAGCAUGUGGAAAGGGCGUCAUAUGAUGUGAACUCUGUUAUCAUGACAAAGAGGGAAGGGCACAACCAUGAAGUUCGAGCAGCCAGAAAUAGCGGGCAUGUGAGCGAUGGUUCUGGGAGUGCUCUCAGAGGCCAACUGGAGUCAUUCAACUUCCUCUUCAGGAAUGGCAGGCUACGAUCUGCCUUCCCACCUGCAAAUGCAGCAUGGCCAGCUAACCGAUUGAUAAUUUGGUAUAUUACGAGUUAGGCCCAGUUUAUCACUUUCUUCCAGUUUAUGGCCUCUUUGUGAUGCCUUUUUCCUUUGCCUGCUAUAAUUUAUGUGUUAAUACUCUACUGGUUCAUUAUACUCCAAUCUAGAGGUUUUCCAAUA